AUGAAUGGCCGCGGUACUUUGACCGUGCUAAGGUAGCGCAAUCAAUUGGCUUUUAAUUGGGGCCAGGUAUGAAUGGAGUCACGGAGUUUCACUGUCUCUUAAUUAUUUUAUCUAAAUUACUAUGCAGGUGAAAAAGCCUGUAAAAAGAAAAAGGACGAGAAGACCCUUAGAGUUUUGCUAAAUCGGACUAAAAUUUAUCCGAGCAGUUUUGUUGGGGCAACAUAGGAGCAGAAUAAUAAAAAGGUAAAUAUUAAUUAAUUAAUCUCCUAAAAACUACAAAUCGAUUAUUAGAAUUGAAUAAACUACCUUAGGGAUAACAGCAUAAUUUUAUAAAUAAGUUUGUGACCUCGAUGUUGGACUAGGAAACCGAGGGGCUAGCCGCCUCUUGGGUAAGUUCUGUUCGAACUAUAUAUUCC
This 416-nucleotide ribosomal RNA is filed under the name Plocamopherus imperialis. Its description in RNAcentral is "partial 16S ribosomal RNA". It matches the Rfam family "Bacterial large subunit ribosomal RNA", at positions 1923 to 2596 of the family's 2925-position model. The record is from RNAcentral. Lineage: Eukaryota; Metazoa; Mollusca; Gastropoda; Nudibranchia; Polyceridae.